UACGUAGGAGGCAAGCGUUGUCCGGAAUCACUGGGCGUAAAGGGUCCGUAGGCGGUUUGUUAAGUCUCUUGUGAAAACUCAGGGCUCAACCCUGAGAGGUCGAUGGAUACUGGCAAACUCGAGACUGUAAGAGGCAAGCGGAAUUCCAGGUGUAGUGGUGAAAUGCGUAGAUAUCGGGAGGAACACCAGUGGCGAAAGCGGCUUGCUGGGCUAGUUCUGACGCUGAGGGACGAAAGCGUGAGUAGCAAACCGG
Molecule: unclassified non-coding RNA, 253 nt
Filed under: uncultured Dehalococcoidia bacterium
Lineage: Bacteria; Bacillati; Chloroflexota; Dehalococcoidia
Description: contains 16S-23S intergenic spacer region
Rfam family: Bacterial small subunit ribosomal RNA
Source: RNAcentral